UUUUACGGAGAGUUUGAUCCUGGCUCAGGACGAACGCUGGCGGCGUGCUUAACACAUGCAAGUCGAACGAUGAAGCCCAGCUUGCUGGGUGGAUUAGUGGCGAACGGGUGAGUAACACGUGAGUAACCUGCCCUUGACUCUGGGAUAAGCGCUGGAAACGGCGUCUAAUACCGGAUACGACCUGCCCCGGCAUCGGGUGCGGGUGGAAAGUUUUUCGGUCAAGGAUGGACUCGCGGCCUAUCAGCUAGUUGGUGAGGUAAUGGCUCACCAAGGCGACGACGGGUAGCCGGCCUGAGAGG
This 299-nucleotide ribosomal RNA is filed under the name Rathayibacter sp. AY1E8. Its description in RNAcentral is "partial 16S ribosomal RNA". It matches the Rfam family "Bacterial small subunit ribosomal RNA", at positions 1 to 299 of the family's 1533-position model. Lineage: Bacteria; Bacillati; Actinomycetota; Actinomycetes; Micrococcales; Microbacteriaceae. The record is from RNAcentral.